RNAcentral lists this ribosomal RNA (497 nucleotides) under uncultured bacterium. RNAcentral describes it as "partial 16S ribosomal RNA". It matches the Rfam family "Bacterial small subunit ribosomal RNA", at positions 28 to 507 of the family's 1533-position model. The record is from RNAcentral.
GACGAACGCUGGCGGCAUGCCUAAUACAUGCAAGUCGAACGCUGAAGCACUCUGCUUGCAGAGUGCGGAUGAGUGGCGAACGGGUGAGUAACACGUGGGAAAUCUGCCUAUAAGAGGGGGAUAACAUUCGGAAACGGAUGCUAAUACCGCAUAUAUUCUUGGACCGCCUGGUCCUUGAAAGAAAGACGGCUUUGCUGUCGCUUAUAGAUGAUCCCGCGGCGUAUUAGUUAGUUGGUGGGGUAAAGGCCUACCAAGACAAUGAUCCGUAGCCGACCUGAGAGGGUGAUCGGCCACACUGGGACUGAGACACGGCCCAGACUCCUACGGGAGGCAGCAGUAGGGAAUAUUCCACAAUGGGCGAAAGCCUGAUGGAGCAAUGCCGCGUGAAUGAAGAAGGUCUUCGGAUCGUAAAGUUCUGUUAUUAGAGAAGAACAAGUCAAGGAGUAACUGUCUUGACUUUGACGGUACCUAACCAGAAAGUCACGGCUAACUACGUG